This 461-nucleotide ribosomal RNA is filed under the name Haplorchis pumilio. RNAcentral's name for it is "SSU rRNA". It matches the Rfam family "Eukaryotic small subunit ribosomal RNA", at positions 505 to 876 of the family's 1831-position model. Lineage: Eukaryota; Metazoa; Platyhelminthes; Trematoda; Opisthorchiida; Heterophyidae. The record is from RNAcentral.
GUAAUUCGAAUGAGUACACUUUAAAUCCUUUAACGAGGAUCAACUGGAGGGCAAGUCUGGUGCCAGCAGCCGCGGUAACUCCAGCUCCAGAAGCGUAUAUUAAAGUUGUUGCAGUUAAAAAGCUCGUAGUUGGAUCUGGGUCGCAUGGCUACAUGCUGUUGCUUGUAUUCCUGGCCUGGUUUACACUGGGACGGGUUUACGGGUCGGCGUCGUGGUUGUGCAGCCUUUCUGCCGUGUCUGUUUCGACAGGUGUUGGCAUGAUUGGUGGGUUCGUCCUGCCGGUCUGUUGACAUGCUCCCAGGUGCCCUUUACUGGGUGUCGGGGGCGGACGGCACGUUUACUUUGAACAAAUUUGAGUGCUCAAAGCAGGCCCAUGUGCCUGAAAAGUCUUGCAUGGAAUAAUGGAAUAGGACUUCGGUUCUAUUUUGUUGGUUUUCGGAUCCGAAGUAAUGGUUAAAAGG